Molecule: ribosomal RNA, 253 nt
Filed under: uncultured bacterium
Lineage: Bacteria
Description: partial 16S ribosomal RNA
Rfam family: Bacterial small subunit ribosomal RNA
Source: RNAcentral
UACGUAGGGACCGAGCGUUGUCCGGAUUCAUUGGGCGUAAAGGGUGCGUAGGUGGCGCUGUAAGUCGGGUGUGAAAUCCUGAGGCUUAACCUCGGAACUGCAUUCGAUACUGCGGCGCUUGAGGACUGGAGAGGAGACUGGAAUUCAUGGUGUAGCAGUGAAAUGCGUAGAGAUCAUGAGGAAGACCAGUGGCGAAGGCGGGUCUCUGGACAGUUCCUGACACUGAGGCACGAAGGCCAGGGGAGCAAACGGG